RNAcentral lists this ribosomal RNA (309 nucleotides) under uncultured bacterium. RNAcentral describes it as "partial 16S ribosomal RNA". It matches the Rfam family "Bacterial small subunit ribosomal RNA", at positions 504 to 807 of the family's 1533-position model. The record is from RNAcentral.
AGAGACAGCAGCCGCCGCGGGAAUACGGAGGAUCCAAGCGUUAUCCGGAAUCAUUGGGUUUAAAGGGUCCGUAGGCGGUCUUGUAAGUCAGUGGUGAAAGCCCAUCGCUCAACGGUGGAACGGCCAUUGAUACUGCAGGACUUGAAUUAUUGGGAAGUAACUAGAAUAUGUAGUGUAGCGGUGAAAUGCUUAGAGAUUACAUGGAAUACCAAUUGCGAAGGCAGGUUACUACCAAUUGAUUGACGAUGAUGGACGAAAGCGUGGGUAGCGAACAGGAUUAGAUACCCGAGUAGUCCCUGUCUCUUAUAC